CAACCCUCAAGCCCCCGGGCUUGGUGUUGGGGAUCGGCACAAGGCGGCUGGCACCUCCGGGAGCCGCGCCCGCCGUCCCCCAAAUUCAGUGGCGGUUCACGCCGUGUGUACCUCAGCGUAGUAGCAACACCUCGCUCCGGAACCCUCCUGUGAACCACGCCGUAAAACCCCCGACUUUUUUCU
Molecule: unclassified non-coding RNA, 183 nt
Filed under: uncultured Cylindrocarpon
Lineage: Eukaryota; Fungi; Ascomycota; Sordariomycetes; Hypocreales; Nectriaceae
Description: sequence contains ITS2
Source: RNAcentral